GACGAACGCUGGCGGCGUGCUUAACACAUGCAAGUCGAACGGAGUGGCGAACGGGUGAGUAACGCGUAAUCAACCUGCCCUUCAGGGGGGGAAAACAGUUGGAAACGACUCCUAAUACCGCAUACGGAAGGAGGGGAAUGCGUAGGAGUAGCUAGUUGGAGGGGUAACGGCCCACCAAGGCGAUGAUCAGUAGCCGGUCUGGGAGGAUGAACGGCCACAUUGGGACUGAGACACGGCCCAGACUCCUACGGGAGGCAGCAGUGGGGAAUCUUCCGCAAUUGACGAAAGUCUGACGGAGCAACGCCGCGUGAGUGAUGACGGCCUUCGGGUGGUAAAGCUCUGUUAAUCGGGACGCGGUACCGGAAUAGAAAGCCACGGCUAACUACGUGCCAGCAGCCGCGGUAAUUC
RNAcentral lists this ribosomal RNA (408 nucleotides) under uncultured bacterium. Its description in RNAcentral is "partial 16S ribosomal RNA". It matches the Rfam family "Bacterial small subunit ribosomal RNA", at positions 28 to 526 of the family's 1533-position model. The record is from RNAcentral.